GGAGAAGUGGCUGAGUGGUUGAAAGCGAUGGAUUGCUAAUCCAUUAUAGGAAAUUUUUUCUAUCAAGGGUUCGAAUCCCUUUUUCUCCG
This 89-nucleotide transfer RNA is filed under the name Poropsis sp. ID1_4. Its description in RNAcentral is "tRNA-Ser". It matches the Rfam family "tRNA". Rfam says of the family: Transfer RNA (tRNA) molecules are approximately 80 nucleotides in length. The record is from RNAcentral. Lineage: Eukaryota; Viridiplantae; Chlorophyta; Ulvophyceae; Bryopsidales.